AAUCAAAAACUUUUCAACAACGGAUCUCUUGGUUCUGGCAUCGAUGAAGAACGCAGCGAAAUGCGAUAAGUAAUGUGAAUUGCAGAAUUCAGUGAAUCAUCGAAUCUUUGAACGCACAUUGCGCCCGCCAGUAUUCUGGCGGGCAUGCCUGUCCGAGCGUCA
This 162-nucleotide ribosomal RNA is filed under the name Trichoderma koningii. RNAcentral's name for it is "5.8S ribosomal RNA". It matches the Rfam family "5.8S ribosomal RNA". Rfam says of the family: 5.8S ribosomal RNA (5.8S rRNA) is a component of the large subunit of the eukaryotic ribosome. The record is from RNAcentral. Lineage: Eukaryota; Fungi; Ascomycota; Sordariomycetes; Hypocreales; Hypocreaceae.